Molecule: ribosomal RNA, 515 nt
Filed under: uncultured Acidobacteriota bacterium
Lineage: Bacteria; Pseudomonadati; Acidobacteriota
Description: bacterial SSU rRNA
Rfam family: Bacterial small subunit ribosomal RNA
Source: RNAcentral
GCGCAAUGGGCGAAAGCCUGACGCAGCAACGCCGCGUGAGGGAUGAAGGCCUUCGGGUUGUAAACCUCUUUUAUCAGGGACGAUAAUGACGGUACCUGAUGAAUAAGCCACGGCUAACUACGUGCCAGCAGCCGCGGUAAUACGUAGGUGGCAAGCGUUGUCCGGAUUUACUGGGCGUAAAGAGCGCGCAGGCGGUCGUUCAAGUCGCGUGUGAAAGCCCCCGGCUCAACUGGGGGAGGGUCACGCGAUACUGAUCGACUCGAAGGCAGGAGAGGGUAGUGGAAUUCCCGGUGUAGUGGUGAAAUGCGUAGAUAUCGGGAGGAACACCAGUGGCGAAGGCGACUACCUGGCCUGUUCUUGACGCUGAGGCGCGAAAGCUAGGGGAGCAAACGGGAUUAGAUACCCCGGUAGUCCUAGCCGUAAACGAUGGACACUAGGUGUUGGUGGUAUCAACCCCGCCAGUGCCGAAGCUAACGCAUUAAGUGUCCCGCCUGGGGAGUACGGCCGCAAGGCUA